This is a non-coding RNA of Anas platyrhynchos (mallard), 1410 nucleotides long. The record is from RefSeq and is a predicted model, not a curated record. NCBI's taxonomy places the organism in Eukaryota, Metazoa, Chordata, Aves, Anseriformes, Anatidae.
UGCACUCCAGCUGGGCCAUUGCCUUAUCCCCCGGCCUUGCCAUUGUUUCCCCGGCACAGCUCCAACAAGCCUUGAGCGAACGAACGGCUGUGUGAACGGCUGUGUGGUGCUUAGCUGCCGGCUGGGGGAAACCACGACGACAGCAAUGUAGUCAUGUAACGAAAUUAAAGCCCAAACUUGCAGCCCGGUCCUUGUCCUGAAUAGGGAGAGAGGAUCCGGAGCCUGGCAUUUAUACGUGAUAGUUUAUAUGCAGCCAAAGUAAAUACUGCAGUGGGAGGUCAUGGCGCUAGAUUUUGAAAAGUCCGGCAUAAAGAAGAGAUCUCAGAAAAGCAAAUUUAAGCAACAUUAAUGUCAAGUAAAGUCUUUCUGAUUGCUAUAUUCCUUAUCUGUCAUGACUAGACAGAUGAAAAUCCAGGAUGGCAGUUUUGCCUUUUGGGUCAUUUUCUUUUUUUCUUUUAUUUAUUUCUUCUCUUUAUGUUGAUUUAUCUGAUUUUAACAGGCUCUGUACUAGUUUUCCUCACAGAAUGACUAGCAGAAAUAUGACCCUUACACGCCUUUUGUAGUUAAUUAAUAAGGUCAACUCUAACCACUGAACCCCUUGACAGGCUCUUUCUGUUAGCAAUAAGGAGCAAUUGAACCUUAAUCAUCAAAACGAGCUUGUUGAGCCUAUUCCACAAGGUCUCCUGACUCCACACAUGUGAAGUGAAAUCUGCCAGGUGGGGAUCAUUUGACCUUUGCUAUAUAGGAAGCCUGAGGAGUCAUGGGAAGACUUGCCACUCCAGAGGAGUUUGAGGUUCAGGUUACUUAGGGUGCUUUUCUACUGUCGUGGAGAAAUGGACUCAGUGUUCCAAGACAGACUGCUUUUUCUUCGUGUUUUCUGCCAUGUCUGAGAAAUUGUUUUGGAGAAUCUAUGAGCUAUUAACGUCGGCGGUGACUACUCAGAAGAGGAAAACCCUGGUGGUGCUACUUCCCUGUGAAGUUGUAUGACAGUGAGCCAAAUUCAGAAGCAGGCAGAAAUGGACUCAGUGUUCCAAGAUAGACUGCUUUUUCUUCAUGUUUUCUGCCGUCUCUGAGAAACUGUUUUGGAGACUAUAUGAGCUAUUAACAUCAGCGGGGAAUACUCAGAACAGAAAACCCUGGUGGUGCUACUUCCCCGUGAAGUUCUUCGGCAUUUGGUCAAAUUCAGACGCUGGCAGUUGAGUGUUCCUGGGUAAAACAUUUGAUUUGGGAUGGAGUGUGAAAGAGACGCGUGUCCUUGUAUGUGAAGAGGAGGUGAAGGAGCAGCUACUGCAAGGAACACACAAAUCCCUUGCGCCAGACUAACAGGUGGUUGUCUCUGAGCUGGGAGACUGCAUCAGAAACACAGAAUUUCUAGGUUGGAAGAGACCUCCAGGAUCACUGACACUAACA